This is an RNA transcript of Xenopus laevis (African clawed frog), 3566 nucleotides long. It is a transcript of the gene named CUGBP, Elav-like family member 3 S homeolog, with no coding region annotated. The transcript is spliced from 14 exons. The record is from RefSeq and is marked provisional. NCBI's taxonomy places the organism in Eukaryota, Metazoa, Chordata, Amphibia, Anura, Pipidae.
GGAAAGAAAAGAUUUUGAAUCAGACCUCAAGAUCCACUAAAGGCAGAAGCUGCUGAAACCAGAGGAGGGGGCAGAGCUCUCGGAUCAAUAGCCCCAGAAAUAAAAAGAGACAGAGAAGAAUUUAACUCCCCAUCUCCACUCGGGCUGAUCGAUACCCUAAUUAAGCACUUUGCAAGCAGCAUCUUUCCUAGAGGGACCUACCAGCGGGCACCUCUCUCAUGUCUGCCUGGUACUGAGCUCAUGCCGGCUGGAGACAUUUGACGGGCAGCUGGGGGCAACUGGAAGACCCCAAAAAGCCACACAGGACAGACUACGCUUGGGUGACAUCUCUAGGGACUGACCAUCAAGAAGAUCUACUGUUGGGUGGUGAGAGUCUGUUCCUUCUCUGCUCCCCUUCCCCUGUGCCCACCUCGCCCCAAUGAAGGAACCAGAUGCCAUCAAACUUUUCAUUGGACAGAUCCCCAGGAACCUUGAUGAGAAGGACCUCAAGCCAAUCUUUGAGCAGUUUGGGAAAAUUUAUGAACUUACAGUCAUUAAAGACAAAUUUACAGGGAUGCACAAAGGAUGUGCGUUCCUAACCUAUUGCGCCCGAGAGUCUGCACUAAAGGCACAGAGCGCCCUUCACGAACAGAAGACCCUACCAGGGAUGAACAGACCAAUUCAGGUGAAACCGGCAGACAGCGAGAGCAGAGGAGAGGACCGCAAGCUGUUUGUUGGUAUGCUGGGGAAGCAGCAGACAGAUGAAGACGUACGGAGGAUGUUUGAAACCUUUGGAAACAUAGAUGAGUGCACAGUCCUGCGGGGCCCAGACGGCACAAGCAAAGGAUGUGCAUUUGUGAAGUUCCAGACACACACAGAAGCUCAGGCUGCCAUCAACACGUUACACGGGAGCCGGACAUUACCGGGGGCCUCCUCCAGUCUAGUAGUAAAGUUUGCAGACACGGAGAAGGAGAGAGGACUGAGGAGGAUGCAGCAAGUGGCCAAUCAGCUGGGGAUGUUCAGUCCCAUCGCUCUCCAGUUUGGCGCAUACAGCGCGUACACACAGGCAGUAAGUGACCAGCUCAUGCAGCAGCAGGCUGCCCUGGUGGCCGCACAAAGCGCUUACCUCAAUCCCAUGGCCACCAUGGCCGCUGUUCAGAUGCAGCAAAUGGCGACAAUCAACCCCAACGGGAUCAUUGCCACACCCAUCACCCAAAUUAACUCAAUCACUUCUUCUUCAGGUACCAGUACUCCACCAACACUCACUGCCACUCCAGUAUCUGCCAUCCCUGCAACACUGGGAGUCAACGGCUACAGUGCUGUACCCACACAGAGCACGGUACAGCCCAGCUCCGAGGCAAUCUACACCAAUGGGCUGCACCCGUAUCCAGCCCAAAGUCCAGUGGCCCAGUUGGAUCCUCUACAACAAGCCUACGCCGGCAUGCAGCACUACACAGCCGCCUACCCUGCUGCUUACGGACUGGUCAGCCCAGCAUUUACUCAGCCCCCUGCGAUACUGACACAGCAGCCCCCACAGCAGCAGCAACAGAGAGAGGGUCCCGAGGGCUGCAACAUCUUUAUCUACCACCUGCCACAGGAAUUCACAGACUCCGAGAUCCUCCAGAUGUUCCUGCCGUUUGGGAAUGUCAUUUCUGCCAAAGUGUUUGUAGACCGCGCCACCAAUCAGAGCAAAUGUUUUGGUUUUGUAAGUUUUGACAAUCCAGGCAGCGCCCAGGCUGCUAUCCAGUCAAUGAAUGGAUUCCAGAUUGGAAUGAAAAGACUGAAAGUGCAACUCAAGCGACCAAAAGAUGCCAACAGGCCGUACUGAGGCGUUCAGGGUCCAAUCAAUCAUGAGAUGACUCUGUCGCUAUGACGUAACCCUAACGUCCAUUGGCUGCCCUGGGACAAGUAGCACCGCCCCUUGGUGUGUAUAUGUUUUGGGGUGCAAGGGGAUCCUGGUUCCAGCCCCUUCUACUUUCUACUAUCUCAUGACACCACAGAACGGAUUCCAAACUUUUUACUGCUGCUGGACCAAGGAGAACAUUUUCUUCAGGGGAAAUUGCAAACUGCUAAACCUGGUGGUUGCCUAACUAUUAACCAGCAAGGACCUUCAAACAUAUCCAUUCCUCCCGAGAUGCAGGAGAACAUUCCAAGCUCUCUGUACAUCUUAAUAAAAUGCCAUGAGAGAUUAGAAAAAUUAAAUCCUCACAGACAAGUGGGUUUCUUUUCACGUGGCGACUCACAACCAAAAUCCGGAAAGUUGAAGACAAUGAUUCAGGCUUCUGGUCGUAAAAGUUCAGGCACAGGUUAUUUACACAUUUUUUGUGGGCCAGGUAACGCGCUUCGCUUAUGGUAAAUUUCUCUUCACAGGAGUUGGGCAGACCAGAAGUUGAGAUAUUUUUUCCAUAUUUCAAAGGCAAGAGUUUAAGCUUCAUAUUCACAGGGAUGGGCUGUAUAUUUCUUCAGAAUUGGGGUGCGGGGGAGCAUAGCGCACACAAGAGAGCCCCUAGCUAUUUAUUCAGAAACGUCCUGGCAGCCAAGGCUGCUGUGUAAAUAGGAUAUAGGCGAUAGGAUGGAGGGUACGGGAUUUAGUGUGCAAUAUCUUCUUAUCCCAACGUUCUCAUUAUAAAAAUUAAAGUACAAUACUCCUGGCCUUGAUGGUCAUCCAGAAGCCUAGCUUUAUCCAACGCCCACUUUUUUAGUAGAUACAGGUCAGUGCACCCAGCGGAGGAGUAUAUGUGAACCAAUACGAACACCCAGUAAAAAAUAUUGUCCUCCUAUAGAACCAUAGAGGGACUUUUUUUUUUUUAAAUCGGGUGCUCCUGGAGAGCAUAAACCUUCCUACAGAGAUUGCUGCCAAAUAAUAAUAGAUACUACUGCAGAGCAUUGCACUGCACAACUUCCUUUAGGAAGCUUCUGAAAAGCAUUGCGUCUCAUGUAGGGCACAGCUGGCAAACAGCACACCACUUCUUUUCUAAUGCUCUGCAGGGUUAUCCUGUCUCUGCCAUAUACCCUGGAAGUGAUAAUCACAUGGGGGUUCAUUUACAGCAGAAUGCUGACUUCAGAUGCACUUGAGAUAUUUAUAAUGCCGGGAUGUCAUUGCACUACAUGGAAAAUGCAUCUGGCGUACAAGGGGUAAAACCCUAAUCUGGGGAAGGCUAAUGAUUGACUGUAGAAGGGCACUGCCCUUACUUCUCAGUUCCCCAUAGGGUUUUUUUUUGUUUGUUAGGGGGUCAGAGGUCAUAGCCGAAGAGUUGCCGAUAUCCGCGCCGAAGGAUUACACAUGUUUACAGUCUCCCGGAAUUGUACAUAAUUUUGUUCACAAUGAGAGAAAACAAAACAAAAAAAAAAGAACUCUGCCAUUUUAUCGUAAAAACUCUAGAAAUUUCAUUUUGUUUUUCUUCCUUUGGUUAAGGGGAGCAGGUAUGCAGGGAAAGGGUAUUUUAAUAUAAUAUAAACAGGUGGGGGGCUGGGGUUAUAAAUGACCAAUUCCCUACGAUUAUAUAAUGCUUAACUUAUUUCUUAUUUAUUGCAGUUUAUUUGGAUUUAAUUUUUUUCUGUCUAAAUAAAAUAAAUUUGAUGAAGAA